RNAcentral lists this ribosomal RNA (503 nucleotides) under uncultured bacterium. RNAcentral describes it as "partial 16S ribosomal RNA". It matches the Rfam family "Bacterial small subunit ribosomal RNA", at positions 30 to 523 of the family's 1533-position model. The record is from RNAcentral.
AUUGAACGCUGGCGGCAGGCUUAACACAUGCAAGUCGAGCGGGGUGAUGGUGCUUGCACUAUCACUUAGCGGCGGACGGGUGAGUAAUGCAUAGGAAUCUGACUAUUAGUGGGGGACAACAUCUCGAAAGGGAUGCUAAUACCGCAUACGUCCUACGGGAGAAAUCAGGGGAUCACUUGUGACCUUGCGCUAAUAGAUGAGCCUAAGUCGGAUUAGCUAGUUGGUGGGGUAAAGGCCUACCAAGGCGACGAGCUGUAGCGGGUCUGAGAGGAUGAUCCGCCACACUGGGACUGAGACACGGCCCAGACUCCUACGGGAGGCAGCAGUGGGGAAUAUUGGACAAUGGGGGGAACCCUGAUCCAGCCAUGCCGCGUGUGUGAAGAAGGCCUUAUGGUUGUAAAGCACUUUAAGCGAGGAGGAGGCUCUUUUGGUUAAUACCCAAGAUGAGUGGACGUUACUCGCAGAAUAAGCACCGGCUAACUCUGUGCCAGCAGCCGCAGUAA